GUAGGCUUUGAGCGUCCGCUGGCAGAGCGCCGAGCGGACACAAUCAUCUUUAUUAAAGCGGACAAUCCCUACCAUUUCAUCUUCUUCAAACCGGGCCAGAGCGUCACUCAAACCCGACUGAACGCCGCGAGGCAAAUCACACUGGGUGAUAUCCCCGUUCACGAUAACCGUGACGUUCUCCCCGAGGCGGGU
This 192-nucleotide antisense RNA is filed under the name uncultured Kluyvera sp. RNAcentral describes it as "Yersinia sRNA 251". It matches the Rfam family "Yersinia sRNA 251". From Rfam's summary of the family: Antisense to phoH gene. Trimmed on 5'end from the original size. Lineage: Bacteria; Pseudomonadati; Pseudomonadota; Gammaproteobacteria; Enterobacterales; Enterobacteriaceae. The record is from RNAcentral.